CAUGCAUGUCUAAGUAUAAGCAAUUAUACUGUAAACUGCGAAUGGCUCAUUAAAUCAGUUAUCGUUUAUUUGAUAGUACCUUACUACUUGGAUAACCGUGGUAAUUCUAGAGCUAAUACAUGCUAAAAACCCCGACUUCGGAAGGGGUGUAUUUAUUAGAUAAAAAACCAAUGCCCUUCGGGGCUCUUUGGUGAUUCAUAAUAACUUAACGGAUCGCAUGGCCUUGCGCCGGCGACGGUUCAUUCAAAUUUCUGCCCUAUCAACUUUCGAUGGUAAGGUAUUGGCUUACCAUGGUUUCAACGGGUAACGGGGAAUUAGGGUUCGACUCCGGAGAGGGAGCCUGAGAAACGGCUACCACAUCCAAGGAAGGCAGCAGGCGCGCAAAUUACCCAAUCCCGACACGGGGAGGUAGUGACAAUAAAUACUGAUACAGGGCUCUUUUGGGUCUUGUAAUUGGAAUGAGUACAAUUUAAACCCCUUAACGAGGAACAAUUGGAGGGCAAGUCUGGUGCCAGCAGCCGCGGGAAUUCCAGCUCCAAUAGCGUAUAUUAAAGUUGUUGCAGUUAAAAAGCUCGUAGUUGAACCUUGGGCCUGGCUGGCCGGUCCGCCUCACCGCGUGUACUGGUCCGGCCGGGCCUUUCCUUCUGGAGAGCCGCAUGCCCUUCACUGGGUGUGUCGGGGAACCAGGACUUUUACUUUGAAAAAAUUAGAGUGUUCAAAGCAGGCCUUUGCUCGAAUACGUUAGCAUGGAAUAAUAGAAUAGGACGUGCGGUCCUAUUUUGUUGGUUUCUAGGACCGCCGUAAUGAUUAAUAGGGAUAGUCGGGGGCAUCAGUAUUCAAUUGUCAGAGGUGAAAUUCUUGGAUUUAUUGAAGACUAACUACUGCGAAAGCAUUUGCCAAGGAUGUUUUCAUUAAUCAGUGAACGAAAGUUAGGGGAUCGAAGACGAUCAGAUACCGUCGUAGUCUUAACCGUAAACUAUGCCGACUAGGGAUCGGGCGAUGUUAUUCUUUUGACUCGCUCGGCACCUUACGAGAAAUCAAAGUUUUUGGGUUCUGGGGGGAG
This 1063-nucleotide ribosomal RNA is filed under the name Delitschia winteri. Its description in RNAcentral is "SSU rRNA". It matches the Rfam family "Eukaryotic small subunit ribosomal RNA", at positions 50 to 1123 of the family's 1831-position model. The record is from RNAcentral. Lineage: Eukaryota; Fungi; Ascomycota; Dothideomycetes; Pleosporales; Delitschiaceae.